This 3730-nucleotide long non-coding RNA is filed under the name Homo sapiens (human). RNAcentral describes it as "HSALNT0023065". Lineage: Eukaryota; Metazoa; Chordata; Mammalia; Primates; Hominidae. The record is from RNAcentral.
AAAAAAAUAAAAAGAUGGAAUAAGAUAUAUCAUGUGAACUUUAAUCAAAAGAAAGCACGAGUGGCAACACUAAUACCAGAUGAAAUGGACUUCAGAACAAGGAAUAUAACUAGACAUGAAGAGAUAUGUUACAUAAUAAUAAAGAGGUCAGUUCAUCAAGAAGCCAUACAAUCAUAAACGUGUAUACACCAACAGAAAACUUCGAAAUAAAUAAAGCAAAAAUGGCCAAAAAAAAGUGGGGGGUGCGGGGGAGGAACAAAUCUACAAUUUAGUUGAAUAAUUCAAAACUCCUCUUUUGGUAACUGACAGAACAAGCAAACCUUACCAUCACUACCAACCAACUUAACUUGGCUGACAUUUACAGAACAUUCCACCCAAUGACAGCAGACUACACAUUCUACUCAAGUGAACAUGGAACAUCCACUAAAAGACACCAUUCUGGGACAUAAAACAAGCCUUGGUAAAUAAAAAAAAAAAUGAAAUAAUGAAAUUAAAUUAGAAAUCAACAACAGAAAAAGACUUGGGAAAUCCUCAAAUACAUGGAGCCUAAUACACUUCUAAAUAACCCAUGUAACAAGGAAGAAAUCACAAAGGAAAUUAGAAAAUAUUUUAAACUGGGCCGGGCUCGGUGGCUCACGCCUGUAAUCCUGGCACUUUGGGAGGUCUAGGUGGGUGGAUCACCUGAGGUCAGGAGUUGGAGACCAGCCUGGCCAACAUGUGAAACCCUGUCUCUACUAAAAAUACAAAAUUAGCUGGGCAUGGUGGCAUGUGCCUGUAAUCCCAGCUACUCGGGAGGCUGAGGUAGGAGUAUCCACUUCUUGGUAUAUACUUUUGAAAACCUCAUGCAGAUUUGCGGAGAGACAAAUAAUUGGAACAUCACUUCUAAUAACAAUGAUAACAAAAAAAAUCAGAAGUAACCUAAAUGUUCAAUAACAGAAAACCAGCCAAAAAGACGUUCUAUGGAAGAACACACAGUUGAUUAAAAGAACACGAUAGAACAAUACUUCAAAGUUCUCCGGGCCGGGUGCAGUGGCUCACGCCUGUAAUCCCAGCACUUUGGGAGGCCGAGGCGGGCGGAUCACGAGGUCAGGAGAUUGAGACCAUCCUGGCUAACACGGUGAAACCCCGUCUCUACUAAAAAUACAAAAAAUUAGCCGGGCAUGGUGGUGGGUGCCUGUAGUCCCAGCUACUCGGGAAGCUGAGGCAGGAGAAUGGCGUGAACCCAGGAGGCAGAACUUGCAGUGAGCCGAGAUCGUGCCACUGCACUCCAGCCUGGGCGACAGAGCGAGACUCCAUCUCAAAAAAAUUAAAAAAAUAAAAAUUAAAAAAAAGUUCUCCAAAACACAACCUGGAAUUUUAAGUUGCAAAAUGUAGACCUUAUGAAAAACAUGUUCACAUUUCCAUACUGUGCCAUGCCCAAAAAAGGUGUUACCUUUAACUGGAGACAUUUAAGUUAAUGACCUUGGAAAAAGAUAAAAAUCGUUUUUAUUGGCCUGGCACGGUGGCUCACGCCUAUAAUCCCAGCACUUUAGGAGGCCUACAACAGGCAGAUCACCUGAGGUCUGGAGUUCGAGACCAGCCUGGCCAACAUGGUGAACCCCCAUCUCUCCUAAGAAUAUAAAAAUUAGGGCGGGGUGGCCGGGUGGCUCACACCUGUAAUCCCAGCACUUUGGGAGGCCGAGGCGGGCAGAUUACCUGAGGUCAGGAGUUCGAUAUCAGCCUGGGCAACACGGUGAAACCCCGUCUCUACUAAAAAUACAAAAUUAGCCGGGCGUGGUGACACAUGCCUGUAGUCCCAGCUACUUGGGAGGCUGAGGCAGGAGAAUCGCUUGAACCUGGGAGGCGGAGGAUGCAGUGAGCCGAGAUCGCGCCAUUGCACUCCAGCCUCGGCAACAAGAGUAAAUCUCCGUCUCACCAAAAAAAAAAAAAAAAAGAAAAAAAAAAUUAGGGUAGGGUGCUGUGGCUUAUGCCUGUAAUACCAGCACUUUGGGAGGCUGAAGCGGGUGGAUCACUUGAAUCCAGGAGUUUGAGACCAGCCUGGACAACAUGGCAAAACCUCAUCUCUACAAAAAAUACAAAAAUUAGCCAGGCAUGGUAGUGUAUGCACCUAUAGUCCCAGCUACUGGGGAGGCUGAGGUGGGAGGAUCGCUUGAGCCCAGGUCGAGGCUGCAGUGAUCUGUGAUUGUACCACUGCACUUCACCCUAGGUGACAGAGUGAGACCCUGUCUCAAAAAAAAAAAGAAAAAAGAAAAAAGAAAAUACAUUUUAAGAAAACUGAAGAACUGAGAUAUACGUGAGACAAAAGUCCAAUGCUGAUUCACACGUAAUUUGAAAAGCUAAUGAAUAGAAAUGAAGAUCUGCUCUCCCCCAAGUAGAUACACAGGCACACGUUUUUAGGUUGCAGAUGGAAGUACUGAACUGAGAAAAAGCCAGGGAGAGAAGCAAAGAUGGUUUUGGUUGUAGAUUGUUGAACUUUAUUUUUUUUUUCCCCAAGACAGAGUCUUGCUCUGUCGCCCAGGCUGGAGUGUAGUGGUGUGAUCUGGGCUCACUGCAACCUAUGCCUUCCAGGUUCAAGCGAUUCUCAUGCCUCAGCCUCCCGAGUAGCUGGGACUACAGGUGUGCACCCCCAUGCACAGCUACUGACUGUUGAACUUUUAUUUUUAUUUUUUUGAGACAGAGUCUCGCUCAGUCAGCCAGGCUGGAGUGUAGUGGCGUGAUCUUGGCUCACUGCAAGCUCCGCCUCCCAGGUUCACACCAUUCUCCUGCUUCAGCCUCCCGAGUAGCUGGGACUACAGGUGCCCGCCACCACGCCUGGCUAAUUUUUUGUAUUUUUAGUAGAGAUGGGGUUUCACCGUGUUAGCCAGGAUGGUCUCAAUCUCCUGACCUCGUGAUCUGCCCGCCUCGGCCUCCCAAAGUGUUGGGAUUACAGGCGUGAGCCACCGCGCCCGGCCCCUGACUGUUGAACUUUAAGCCCUAAUGAAUUAUUAGCAAUUAUUUAUUAUUUUGAACCGGUUGCUUCUCCUGCUCCAAAAGAUAGAUGGUCAAGACUCGGUAGCAUACUUUCCAAGAUGUGCUUACCUCAACUGCUCUCCUUAAUGCGUCUUCAGUCUGGCUUUAUGGUAUCCCACACAGCAAAAAUAACCAAGAUGGUCACCUCAUCUGUCUCCCCAGAUUUCAAAAGAAAAAAAUUAUGCCAGUCACCCUGCCUAUCAGUGGGGUCAUCUGGAUGUAGCAACCUCAUUCUGGGACUCCACAUCACACUGAUCGCGCACUUCCCCACAAGUGCUCUGCAAUCAUCCACCCUGAGCAAGCGAGGGCUCUGCCUCUGGAGAUCCAUUAAAGUGUGUGGGGUCCACAUAUUUAAUGGAACACACUACAUACAUGGUAGUGUAGAGAAACAACUUUAUAACCUAGUCAUUUUCAAUAAGAAAAAUCAGUGCUAGCCUUUGCAUUUAAAAGUGUGGAAAAAUUUAAAUCUAUUUUAACUCACUAAGGUAAUUAAUAGUAAAACUAAAUAAUUGGCCAGAAAGAGUUGUUUUUCAACUAGAGCCUUUUAAAACAAAAAAGAUGUUUGAAACAUUUCUUUUUCUCCUACCCAAAUGUUGAAAUACUGUACUAAUGCUUCAGAGAGUAACUAUAUUAAUGAAACAUCAACAAGUUACAGAUAAACAUUUUAAUUGAUUAAAUAUAUUACUUUCAAGAUCUUUUUGAAAUCGCACUUGUACUGUAC